Molecule: ribosomal RNA, 827 nt
Filed under: Rhytismatales sp.
Lineage: Eukaryota; Fungi; Ascomycota; Leotiomycetes; Rhytismatales
Description: partial large subunit ribosomal RNA
Rfam family: Eukaryotic large subunit ribosomal RNA
Source: RNAcentral
GGGAUUGCCCCAGUAACGGCGAGUGAAGCGGCAAUAGCUCAAAUUUGAAAUCUGGCUCUUUCAGGGUCCGAGUUGUAAUUUGCAGAGGGCGCUUUGGCGUCGGCAGCAGCCUAAGUUCCUUGGAACAGGUCAUCAUAGAGGGUGAGAAUCCCGUAUGUGGCUGCUUGUCUUCGCCGUGUAAAGCCCCUUCGAUGAGUCGAGUUGUUUGGGAAUGCAGCUCUAAAUGGGAGGUAAAUUUCUUCUAAAGCUAAAUAUUGGCCAGAGACCGAUAGCGCACAAGUAGAGUGAUCGAAAGAUGAAAAGCACUUUGGAAAGAGAGUCAAAAAGCACGUGAAAUUGUUGAAAGGGAAGCGCUUGCAGCCAGACGUGCCCGUAGUUGCUCAUCGGGGGUUCUCCCCCGUGUACUCUUCUAUGGGCAGGCCAGCAUCAGUCCGGGCGGUUGGAGAAAGACCUGUGUCAUGUAGCUGUUUUCGGGCAGUGUUAUAGGGCAGGUGGAAUGCAACCAGCCUGGACUGAGGUCCGCGCAUCUGCUAGGAUGCUGGCGUAAUGGCUGUAAGCGGCCCGUCUUGAAACACGGACCAAGGAGUCUAACAUCUAUGCGAGUGUUUGGGUGUCAAGCCCGAGCGCGUAAUGAAAGUGAACGGAGGUGGGAACCUUUUAGGUGCACCAUCGACCGAUCCUGAUGUCUUCGGAUGGAUUUGAGUAAGAGCAUAGCUGUUGGGACCCGAAAGAUGGUGAACUAUGCCUGAAUAGGGUGAAGCCAGAGGAAACUCUGGUGGAGGCUCGCAGCGGUUCUGACGUGCAAAUCGAUCGUCAAAUUUGGGCAU